ACCUGGUGAUGUGGACAUUUGCAGAGUAGGUCCCUAAAGAGCUCCCAAGUCUUAAAAAAGAGUUCUCCAUCCAUCUAUGAAAAACUCGUUAUGGCUUUCCAAAGCU
Malania oleifera is the source of this 106-nucleotide small nucleolar RNA. Lineage: Eukaryota; Viridiplantae; Streptophyta; Magnoliopsida; Santalales; Ximeniaceae. The record is from RefSeq and is a predicted model, not a curated record.